ACCAAGGGAGUAGCAGACGGAUUAUUCCGUGAUAAUGUCGUCAUUACGAAAUCAUUGAUUUCCGGCAUUGUCUUAAACAGCGAGACUUGUUUUUAGCAAACAAGUCUCUUUUU
Molecule: non-coding RNA, 113 nt
Filed under: Streptococcus henryi
Lineage: Bacteria; Bacillati; Bacillota; Bacilli; Lactobacillales; Streptococcaceae
Description: Streptococcus sRNA 10
Rfam family: Streptococcus sRNA 10
Source: Rfam by way of RNAcentral